AAUAAGUGCAGUUUUACACUAUUCAUGACCAAUAUUUGACCGUUCGUCUUAUUUGAAAAUUUUAAAUGAGUAUUAUUUUUUUUAUUAUUAGAUGAUAAAACAUGAAUAGUACUUUAUGUGUGACUAAUUUUUUUUAUUUUUUUUCAUAAUUUUCAAAUAAGACGGACAGUGAUCAAACGUUUGGACACAGAUAUUCACGGCUGUACUUAUU
Molecule: microRNA precursor, 211 nt
Organism: Oryza sativa Japonica Group (Japanese rice)
Lineage: Eukaryota; Viridiplantae; Streptophyta; Magnoliopsida; Poales; Poaceae
Rfam family: MIR812 microRNA precursor family
Source: Rfam